RNAcentral lists this ribosomal RNA (686 nucleotides) under Podosphaera xanthii. RNAcentral describes it as "eukaryotic LSU rRNA". It matches the Rfam family "Eukaryotic large subunit ribosomal RNA", at positions 114 to 819 of the family's 3401-position model. Lineage: Eukaryota; Fungi; Ascomycota; Leotiomycetes; Helotiales; Erysiphaceae. The record is from RNAcentral.
UUUGAAAUCUGGCUCCUCGGGGCCCGAAUUGUAAUUUGUAGAAGAUGCUUUGGGUCUGGGCCUGGCCUAAGUUCCUUGGAACAGGACGUCGUAGAGGGUGAGAAUCCCGUAUGCGGCUGGCGCCCGUGCCCGUGUAAAGCUCUUUCAACGAGUCGAGUUGUUUGGGAAUGCAGCUCUAAAUGGGUGGUAAAUUUCAUCUAAAGCUAAAUAUUGGCCAGAGACCGAUAGCGCACAAGUAGAGUGAUCGAAAGAUGAAAAGCACUUUGGAAAGAGAGUUAAACAGUACGUGAAAUUGUUGAAAGGGAAGCGCUGGCAACCAGACUUGGGCGCUGUUGAUCCGCUAGGGUUCUCUCUAGGGCACUCGGCAGUGCGCAGGCCAGCAUCGGUUUGGGGGGUUGGAGAAUGGCUGGUGGAAUGUGGCUGUCUUCGGGCAGUGUUAUAGCCACCGGUGGCAUGCAGCCUCCCCGGACCGAGGACCGCGCUUCGGCUAGGAUGCUGGCGUAAUGGUUGUCAGCGACCCGUCUUGAAACACGGACCAAGGAGUCUAACAUCUAUGCGAGUGUUUGGGUGUUAAACCCAUACGCGGAAUGAAAGUGAACGUAGGUGAGAACCCGCAAGGGUGCAUCAUCGACCGAUCCUGAUGUCUUCGGAUGGAUUUGAGUAAGAGCAUAGCUGUUGGGACCCGA